GCGCAUCUGUGCAUGCAGCAUAUCAAUAAGCGGAGGAAAAGAAACUAACAAGGAUUCCCCUAGUAACGGCGAGUGAAGCGGGAAGAGCUCAAAUUUGAAAUCUUAAAGGGUUUCCCUUUACGAAUUGUAGUUUAAAGAAGUGUUUUCUGUUGAGGUUUUGGUAAAAGUUCUUUGGAAUAGGACAUCAUAGAGGGUGAGAAUCCCGUAUUUGACCUUUACUUUCAACUUUGUGAUACACUUUCAAAGAGUCGGAUUGUUUGGGAAUGCAGUCCAAAAUGGGUGGUAGAUUUCAUCUAAAGCUAAAUAUUGGCGAGAGACCGAUAGCGAACAAGUACCGUGAGGGAAAGAUGAAAAGAACUUUGAAAAGAGAGUUAAACAGUACGUGAAAUUGUCAAAAGGGAAGCGUUUGACACCAGUGUUGUUUUUCUGAAAAUCAAUUAAAGAACUGUUUAUGCUAAGUUGUUUAGACUUUAUCAGCUAACUGUUUAGUUUUGAGCUUUUCUUAAUGCACUUUUCAGUUAACAAGUCAACAUCAAUUUCUUUUGCUGUAAAAAAGCUUGAGGAAGGUGGCUUGAGAUUCGUCUUAAGUGUUUAUAGCCUCUUGCCUAUGCAGUCGGAGAGAUUGAGGUCUGCAGCGUAGAUCCUUCGGGGCUAAAUGCAUUUGUGCUAAGUUAUAGCAUUUUAUAGACAACUUGUUGACUAUGAUUUGUCUUGUAGCUUACUCGCUUAUGUUAUUUUACCUACGCUUAGGAUGUUGACUGAUAUGUAGUCGUA
RNAcentral lists this ribosomal RNA (774 nucleotides) under uncultured Neocallimastigales. RNAcentral describes it as "partial large subunit ribosomal RNA". It matches the Rfam family "Eukaryotic large subunit ribosomal RNA", at positions 24 to 644 of the family's 3401-position model. The record is from RNAcentral. Lineage: Eukaryota; Fungi; Neocallimastigomycota; Neocallimastigomycetes; Neocallimastigales.